GAUGAACGCUAGCGGCAGGCUUAACACAUGCAAGUCGAGGGGUAUUGGUUUUCGGACCAAGAGACCGGCGCACGGGUGCGUAACGCGUAUGCAAUCUACCUUUCACAGAGGGAUAGCCCAGAGAAAUUUGGAUUAAUACCUCAUAGUAUUAUAGGAUGGCAUCAUUUUAUAAUUAAAGUCACAACGGUGAAAGAUGAGCAUGCGUCCCAUUAGCUUGUUGGUAAGGUAACGGCUUACCAAGGCUACGAUGGGUAGGGGUCCUGAGAGGGAGACCCCCCACACUGGUACUGAGACACGGACCAGACUCCUACGGGAGGCAGCAGUGAGGAAUAUUGGUCAAUGGACGCAAGUCUGAACCAGCCAUGCCGCGGGCAGGAUGACGGUCCUAUGGAUUGUAAUCUGCUUUUGCACAGGAAGAAACAACAUUACGUGUAAUGUCUUGACGGUACUGUGAGAAUAAGGAUCGGCUAACUCCGUGCCAGCAGCCGCGGUAA
RNAcentral lists this ribosomal RNA (494 nucleotides) under uncultured bacterium. RNAcentral's name for it is "partial 16S ribosomal RNA". It matches the Rfam family "Bacterial small subunit ribosomal RNA", at positions 28 to 523 of the family's 1533-position model. The record is from RNAcentral.